UACGAGGGGGGCAAGCGUUGUUCGGAAUUAUUGGGCGUAAAGGGUGCGUAGGCGGUUUGACAAGUCAUCUGUGAAAUCUAUGGGCUCAACCCAUAGUCUGCAGGCGAAACUGUCGGGCUUGAGUAUGGGAGAGGUGAGUGGAAUUUCCGGUGUAGCGGUGAAAUGCGUAGAUAUCGGAAGGAACACCUGUGGCGAAAGCGGCUCACUGGACCAUAACUGACGCUGAGGCACGAAAGCUAGGGGAGCAAACAGG
Molecule: ribosomal RNA, 253 nt
Filed under: uncultured bacterium
Lineage: Bacteria
Description: partial 16S ribosomal RNA
Rfam family: Bacterial small subunit ribosomal RNA
Source: RNAcentral